UCGACUAGCAUGCGAGUCAGGUGUCUUCGGACGCCGGCGUACGGCUCAGUAACACGUAGGUAACCUACCCUCAGGACUGAGAUAACCCCGGGAAACUGGGGCUAAUAUUAGAUAGAUAAAAGAUACUGGAAUGUUCUUUUAUCCAAAGCUUUUGCGCCUGAGGAUGGGCCUGCGUCCGAUUAGGUUGUUGGUGGGGUAAUGGCCCACCAAGCCUGCAAUCGGUACGGGCGGGGGGAGCUGAAGCCCGGAGUUGGGAACUGAGACAAGGCCCCAGGCCCUACGGGGCGCAGCAGGGGCGAAACCUCUGCAAUGCGGGAAACCGUGACAGGGGGAUCCCAAGUGCUCAUGCAUUGCUGGGGCUGUUCUUUGGCCUAAGUACCCAGAGGAG
RNAcentral lists this ribosomal RNA (388 nucleotides) under uncultured methanogenic archaeon. RNAcentral describes it as "bacterial SSU rRNA". It matches the Rfam family "Archaeal small subunit ribosomal RNA", at positions 40 to 435 of the family's 1478-position model. Lineage: Archaea; Methanobacteriati; Methanobacteriota. The record is from RNAcentral.